UGGGGAAUAUUGCACAAUGGGCGCAAGCCUGAUGCAGCCAUGCCGCGUGUAUGAAGAAGGCCUUCGGGUUGUAAAGUACUUUCAGCGGGGAGGAAGGCGAUAAGGUUAAUAACCUUGUCGAUUGACGUUACCCGCAGAAGAAGCACCGGCUAACUCCGUGCCAGCAGCCGCGGUAAUACGGAGGGUGCAAGCGUUAAUCGGAAUUACUGGGCGUAAAGCGCACGCAGGCGGUCUGUCAAGUCGGAUGUGAAAUCCCCGGGCUCAACCUGGGAACUGCAUUCGAAACUGGCAGGCUAGAGUCUUGUAGUGGGGGGUAGAAUUCCAGGUGUAGCGGUGAAAUGCGUAGAGAUCUGGAGGAAUACCGGUGGCGAAGGCGGCCCCCUGGACAAAGACUGACGCUCAGGUGCGAAAGCGUGGGGAGCAAACA
This 427-nucleotide ribosomal RNA is filed under the name uncultured bacterium. RNAcentral describes it as "partial 16S ribosomal RNA". It matches the Rfam family "Bacterial small subunit ribosomal RNA", at positions 355 to 774 of the family's 1533-position model. The record is from RNAcentral.